UACAGAGAGUGCAAACGUUGUUCGGAAUCACUGGGCUUAAAGCGCACGUAGGCGGCACUGUAAGUGUGGGGUGAAAGCCCACGGCUCACCCGUGGAAUUGCCUGGCAGACUGCAGUGCUCGAGUGUGGUAGGGGAGAGCGGAACUCCUGGUGGAGCGGUGAAAUGCGUAGAUAUCAGGAGGAACACCGGUGGCGAAGGCGGCUCUCUGGUCCACAACUGACGCUGAGGUGCGAAAGCUAGGGUAGCGAACGGG
This 253-nucleotide ribosomal RNA is filed under the name uncultured bacterium. RNAcentral describes it as "partial 16S ribosomal RNA". It matches the Rfam family "Bacterial small subunit ribosomal RNA", at positions 524 to 776 of the family's 1533-position model. The record is from RNAcentral.